Molecule: ribosomal RNA, 245 nt
Filed under: uncultured bacterium
Lineage: Bacteria
Description: partial 16S ribosomal RNA
Rfam family: Bacterial small subunit ribosomal RNA
Source: RNAcentral
UAUGGAGCAAGCGUUAUCCGGAUUUACUGGGUGUAAAGGGAGCGUAGGCGGCCUGGCAAGUCUGGUGUGAAAUACCGGGGCCCAACCCCGGGGCUGCAUUGGAAACUGUCAGGCUGGAGUGCCGGAGGGGCAGGCGGAAUUCCUAGUGUAGCGGUGAAAUGCGUAGAUAUUAGGAGGAACACCGGUGGCGAAGGCGGCCUGCUGGACGGCAACUAACGCUGAGGCUCGAAAGCGUGGGGAGCAAA